CAAAAAUAAAAAAAUUACCGAUACAUAAUAAAUUAUUUUAUUAAUUUAUGUUCUUUUCUUAUAAUAUUAUAUUAAAUAAGAUAAAUACGGCGAAAAUGCGUUUGAGACGAAAGCUAUUGGCAUUAUAUUAUCAUCAUUUUUUUUAAUUUAAUUUAAUUUUUUUUUUUUACCAAAUCUGUACCUGUACAGUGUACGUCGUAAUGUAUAAUAAUUUUGUCACGAUAUUUCUGGUCACCUGAUACGUAGUGUCUUAUUAUAACAUAUUAUAAUAUAUUGUUAGUGAAGAGUGUUCCACAAGGUAAAAUGAUAGUGAAUAAUAUUAUUACGAUCGUUUUCGAUUUUUAACCGUAUCACCGCCGCAGCUAAUGAUGUAAUAUCAUAGUGGUCAAUGAGUAAAGGUGAUUUGUAACGACAAAUAUUACUAUUGCACCUUUAUCAAAAGAAAAACCUUUAAAAAUCUAAUGCUAAUCGGCGAUAACGUCAUAAUAUACUAUAUGACACCUAUAUUAGUUGAAUAUCUCCAGAAAAAAAAAAUAUACAUUUUUUUUGUCCCGAGUUUUUAUAAACAUCUGUAAUGCAUCGAAGCAAGUCGACUCCCGAAAUAAUAUCGAUUUCAAACAAAAUUUCAAUCAACACCUUUAACCAUCCAUUAACCCUUUCAACUGAUAAAUUGUAUAAUACGUUUUUACCCUUUUACAAUGCAGUAAGACAUCGCAACUGCAACGGUUUUUUUGGUAUAGACGAAGCAAAAAAUCGAUUAUGACUUUGUUCUUCCAAGAACUUUAUGGCGAUCGCAAUAAUAAUAAAAAAAAAAAAAACACACCCCAAACACAUAUACCUAAUACGUAUGUCGUAUAUAUAUAAUAUAUGUUGAAAAAAAAAACGUACGCCGACACACACAGACACAUACACACACCGGCACACAUAUAUUCACGUGUUAAAUUUGAAAUCGCGCCUAUAAUAUAUUUACGGAAACAAUAAUAAGCAUUACUAUAUUAUAUGAAUCGAUUAAUGCAGAAAAGGCACGUGUCCGAAUUUUUUAAUUUUUCAAUAAAGACAAAAAUAGGUGAUUUAUACUUCUGAGAAAAGUCGAAACCGACUGUGCGUUUCUAUAUACGGUAUUUAUAUAAAGUAUUCAAGUAUUAUAAGACUUUAGUUUUUGUCUUUUUUGAAAAAUUAUAAAAUUUGAAUAUGUCACCUUUCUGCAUUUAACAAUUUAUACAGGGGCCAAAAAUAAUAUGCGCACUUGAUUUAUGCAUCAGGACAGAUUUGUAAAAAAAAAAAAAAUGCAUUGUAUAUUUUUUUUAAUCGACGCUAAAAUUAUUUUCUUUAAAAAAAAAAAAAACGUUCGUGGUAAUAUUUCAAUUAAAAAAAUUAUUUUUAUUAUUAUUGUUAUUAUUAUGUACACCUAUACCUACACACCUAUGUAAUAAUAAUAUACAACGCAUAUGUCACAGGUCGUUUUCGAAUCGUUGGACAAGUGCAGUAAAAUUAAUUAAAAAAAAUAAAACAAAAAAGUUAAUAAUAACAAUAAUUAUAUUCUCCGCAUAGGUAUAAACACGUUUUUUUGUUUUUUUUUUUUCCAUGAGCCGUUUUUCUAUACACACAAGCAUAUAAUAUGAUAAUAAUAAUAUGUAUGCACCCGCCAAAAGACGUUCAGCGCAAUAUUGAAAAAUAUUGAUUUAGGCCGUCAUUAAAAUGUCAUAAAAAUAAUGUAAAUUUAAAAAAAAAAAAAUAACCGUCAUUAUUAUGAUUGUUUUAAUAUUAUAAUAACUGCUACAAUAACCGCGUGUUAGAAAAUACGUUUAACAUAUAAUUAUACUGUACAAGGGUUUUUUUUCUUUUUUUUAAUGUCUAAUUUUAUUAUUACUAUUAUCGCGUCUAAUGGCCAACUUUUUUUAAAUGUAGAUUUCAUGAAAAAAAAAAAAAUAAAUAAAUAAAUAAUAAUAAUGAUAAAAUAUAUGGAUUACAGGGUAAUUUGAUACAGUUCGGAAAAAACUAACAAUUAUAAUAUAAUAACCGCGCGUCUAACAAUAAAAUAUAUUAUUAUGUCGAACAAUAAUAUUAUAGGUGGAACGGUUCCUUUUUUUUUUUUUUUUUUUUUUUUUUUUUUNNNNNNNNAAAAAAAAAAAAAAAAAAAAAAAAAAAAAACAUAUAAUAACAAAAUAAUUGUACAAGUUCUGAUUGAGAGUAACGGUAAAUAACCGUCGGGCGCCCGUUUAUAGGUGUAUCGGGGGAUGAGCGUGUGUGCCGUUGAACCCGAGGCCCGUACAAUAAUAUCGCAAUAACACAAGACGGUCUAAAUCGAUAGGGGCGUAAUAAAAACGCGGUAAACGUCUCGACUGCAAUAGUAUUAUGCUGUAUUAUUGCUGUAAUCACGCUUGCUCGACAUUACGACAUUUGUACGAUAAUAACAAUUAUUAUUAUUGUUAUUAUUAUUAUUACUAUUGUUAUUGUUAAUAUAUUAUAGAUAGGUCGGAGAGUCGUAACACACUAACGGGUGGCGCAGAGGCGGCAAUCGGUAUUACUCCGGCGUUUUACGCGCGACGACGCACGGUAUCGCAAAUAACAAUAACACGACAAACGCGUUUACGACGUGUUUUUUUUUUUUUUUUUUUUUUUUUUUUUUUACGAAAAAUAUUAAUGACGACAGCGCGCGCACGCGUACAGGCAGCGGACGCGCCGCCGCCGUAGAUACAAAACGAUUAGCGUCGGUCGGUUCCACAUUCCGCCGGUGGUUCCCGGACCCGUGGCCCGCGGGUUCGGCUACUCGAACAGCGGUCCGCGGGGCCGGUCACUAGUUGGUGGCCGCGGCGUACGGCAGUAUUGCCGACAUUUUGUCACGCGUAUCGCGCGCGUGGAUCGUGAAUACCGCGAAACGGGAACAAAAUGAAACGGGUGGCAGCAGUGAAACUGAGUGGUCCGCGGCGGCGGAAAAUUUACGAUAGCGGUCCGUGCCCAAUGUCGAACUGCGGGAACCGCCGCAGCGUGUUGUGCAUUAUCAUUAUUAUUAUUAUUGUUAUUAUUAUUAUUAUUGUUGUUGUUGUUGUUAUUGUUAUCGUCGUGCGAGCGAACGGAAAGUGCCGCCGGAGCCGUGUAGGUGCCGAGAGGGCCGAUUUCAUCGAUUAACCCGUGACCGAAAUAAACGCCGGAUAACUGGCGGUCGCGCGGCCGGCGAAAACCGUUUCGCGCCCGAUGCGAAAACGUGUCCCGCACGGUUCCGGAACACCAUAGGUCGCACCGUCGCGGAAAAAGAAACGGUUCGUUAUUCCGACGUCGGGUUCGUUUCGAUCGCGGUCGACAAAGGAUGCGCGAAGUGUUUUCCCCCCCCCCACUCCUUUUCUGGUUUCGGUAUAGAAUCGUAAAAAACCUCGUACCGCCCGAGCCCGGAAGAAUCCGCAUGCCCGUAACCGUCAGGCUUCUGGGACGUUUCCCCUGGGUACCGGCGUGACGGUAUAUUUUUACCUCGAUAAAUUUUACCUUCCCCUCCCCUCGGUAAAUAUAUCCCCGGAUAUAUUUACCCUCUCGGACAAAUCAAAAGGGGUAAAUAUUCAAUGGCAUAUAUUUAUACAAAUAUUAUCGGGUAUUUUUACCGGGAUAAAUUUAUACUAUAACGUAUCUACCGCCUUACAUUUUUCCUGAGGGAUGGUAAUAUAUAUCAGAAGUUAUUUUUAACGGGGAUAAAUAAAUUCCUGGGAUUAGCUUACCGAGGGAGCGGGGGUAAAUGUGUUUGGGCGUUAAAAUAUCCCGUUAUACAGCGGUAAUAGGGAAACCUAGUAAUUUUGCUGACGCGAGUGUUUAUUUCCAUAUAUAUCCAUGUAUUUCACGGGUUAAUGAAUGCGAUUUGCCCUCUCAUCGGUACACGAUGGCUGCUGCACUGAUUUCGUACACUUCUUAUGGCUCUACAUCAUCGUAUACAGUCGACUGUCCAAUCGUUUUAUAAAAUUCCCUUCUAAUUCCCAGCAGAAUUCGUUCCAAUUUCGCUAAAUAGUAACAAUAUUGCGCUCCAACACAUACUGUUAUGUAUUUAUAUUAAUGGGUAUUGGAUUGUAGUUUUCGUCAUUGCUGCAGUCCGCCGUAGGUUCGAGUAUCGUAUUUAAUUACAUUCAAUAUUUGUAUUGUCCUUUUUUUUUUUUUUUUCUUAAAAUAUUAUAAAACGUACCUAUCUAUAUUUAUUGAAUUUAACGCAUAUUAUGAAAUAUUGUCCAUUAGUUUUUUUUCUCGCCCGUCAUUCAAACGGUUUUGUCCAACGAAAUUUUAAACGCCUCUCGAUAUAAAACAGUUCAUAAAACAGUUCAUACAUUAUACAUUAUAUACGAAUGAAAAAUGCAAGCUUUUUGUAAAAAAAAAAAAAAAAAACCUAUAUAUUAUAUAACAAUAAUAAUAUAAAUAAAUAAUACUGAGGAACAAUACACACCUACAUUUUUGUACUGGUAUUUAUAAUAAACGUUUUCUAUAUACCGAUAUUAUUGAUUCAAUAAAUUAAAUUAUUAUUAUUAUUAUUAUUAUUAUUAUUAUUAUUAUUAUUAUUAUUAUCAUUGUUAUCAUUAUUGUCGGACGAAUGCCUAAUUAUUAUUAUUGAAAUUUCAGUUUAACAAUAAUAUUGCUAAACUAAAAAAAGAAAUAAAACACAUGUGUUACUUCUAUAUAAUAUAUUAUGUAUUUAUAUUAAACAUUUAUUAUACUUUCUUUACAUAUAUAUAUAUAUAUACAAUCAGCCAGAGCGUGUAAUUCAAAUACUUGUCAAUUUCAAAUGGAUUGGAAAAAGGCUGCACAAUUAUAAUAUAGAAAUUAGAAUGAAGUUUUUGUAAUAAUUAAAAUAAUGAUGAAAAAAAACAAAAAAAAAAUUUUUAAAAAUCAUGGUUCUCCGGUUGAAAAUCGAAAAUAUUACACCGAGAACGAUAUUUUAAUGUCGUUUUUUUUUUCCAAUAUCAUCAUUCAGCUAUCACGAAUUUUAUAUGUUUCGUGUAGAAAUUAAAAGCUUUUUUUACUGCACUUCUUUAUCAUUGAUUUUAAAUAAUAGUCUAUUAAUAUUUUAAUAAUGCGAAAAAAAAAGUUAACCAUAAACACGUUUAUACAUUGUCACGUUGUAAAAAAAAAAAUUAAAUAAAAAAUACUAAUAAUAAAAUACAAUUUUAAAAAGUAUAUAAAAUAAUUUUCCAAAAAAAAAUUUCAUAAUUAUCGACAAUCUUUUAUGUAUUUUUGAAACGAUUAAUCAGUGCAAAACGCGAGUAUAAUUCAUGCAAACUAAAGAUAUUAUAAUAUUAUGCGUACGCUUUCGGGUUUUAAUAAUAUUGCAACAUUUUAAUAUUAUUAUAAAAAUAAAAACAAUUACCGUAACAAUAUUCACGUCACAAAUAAUAAUAUUUUUUCAUGAAAAAAGCAAUAAAUAAGUUACAUAAUCUUCUUAUUUGUUUUGUCUUAUUUGUUAUUUUUUUUUUUUUGUUAUCCUUCGAGAAGUAUUUAGACUGUUUCCCCAAAUUUGUGUUCUUAACUAUUAAGUUCAUCAUAUAAUAUUAAUUAUCGUAUUAUACUCGUAACUUCCUAGGCGUUUUGUGUCGAAAAUGAAUAAAAACAAAAAACAUGAAGGAAGUAAGAACUCCCCGAAAAAAAAAUCUUUUCUUUUCAAACCAUAAAAUAUUAGAUAUAGGUAGGUGCAGUAUUAACAUUUUCGGACAAAUACAUUUUAAAUAAUGUAGUCGAAUCCUAUUCGAUCCUGGUCCACGCGAUUAUAUAGCAUUGCCAGCGUGACACUAUAGACGAUAGAGUAAUUAUCACGAAUCACCGUCGUGUGAACUACACGGCGAUAGUAAUUAAUGAACUACCGCGUAAGCUGAUAUGCGUGAUAAUUGAUGGCUAUACUAUCUCGAGAGAAUUAUUGAGAGCAAUAGUAAUACUAUCACAGUGUCUCGUUGAGAGGCACUAUCGUACUCGAUCCGACUUUAACAGACGUUUUUAUUUAAAUUCGCUCGACUAUAUCCAAAAGGACUGGAUUCAACGGUGGACAUAUUAUGGACAGCACAAUAGCGUCCCGGGUCCCCGCGUAUUUAUCGCCCCCUCGUCCAUUGUUUUCACGGUUUGGAAUCCCUGGAACGAUGCAGGGACUGCGAUAUCAGACGGAUGUCGUAUCAAAAUCGUUUAUUAGAUUAUUGCGAAAAUAGCUCGGGUCAGGAUGCAGUGUCCCCGGGCUCGAAAUUUAAGAAAUUUGUAUACAAAAUUCGGACUAAGUAGCGUUAGUUCCGCGGUAUUCUUAAACACGGUAUAUUAUACACUCCGCACAGUAUAUUAUCGAAAAACGUCGACGAGUCACUGAAAACUAAAGGCGAAUCACGGUUAUCAUUAUCAUCGUGUGGGCCGGGCUUUGUGACAUCCAUAUUAUUAUCAUCCGGACCCAUCGAUAUCCCGAUAGAAACGCGUUCGGCAGCGUAUUUGCACUCGUUUCGUUUCUAUGUAUUUGCGUUCUUCCUAAAAAUUAUUUCUAUAUACAUUAUUAUAAUUAUUAUUAUUAUUAUUAUUAUUAUAAUAUACUUGUAAAAUUUAUAAUUAUAUUUUGUCCUCUAUAUUAUAUUAUUAUUAUUAUUAUUAUUAUUAUUAUUAUUAUCAUCAUCAUCAUCGUUAUUAUAACUAUAUACUAUUAUUAUUAUUGUUAGACUUUUAGACGUUCGCUAUUUAUAACAUUAAACGUCCACCUACUUUUUCUCUUAAGCUAUUACAUAUACUCGUAUUAAUUUUAUAGGUACGGUGUACAAUUAUUUACAUUGUCGUUACUAUAUAAUAUUAUAUAGAAAUUGUAUGAUAAUAACAUUAAAAUAUUAUUCGACGUGAAGAGCAUGUUAAACUACUAAAUUUUUACCCGUGUUAAAAAAAAAACCAAAAAAAAAAAAAUAUGACAGAAAAACCAAAAAAAUUUAAAAAAUAAAAAAUAAAUAAAAAAAAACAAUAUUAAUAUCAACGACAGGUUUAGGAGAAAAUAUGAAAUUAUUAUAUUAUAUUAUUAUCGCUAUAUAUUAUAAUAUACAUACAUUCCUAGAUAUUUGUUUUGUAAAUAAAUAAUUAAAUCGUUUAUAUACAUAUUUGUUUUUUUUUUUUUUUGUUUCGAUUUUUUUUUUUAUUAUUAUUAUUAUUAUUGUAAGAUCCCUAUGAACGUAUUAUUAUAUAUUAUAUAUUAUAUUAAUUUUAAUUAAUAUAAUAUAUUAUAUAUAUUAUGUAUUAUAGUAGUAUAAUAUAUAUGUAAUAUUAUAUAUUAUCUAUAAUAAUAGUGGAUGUAAUAAUUUUAAUUUAGUACCUAUAUAUAUUAUUAUAUCAAUAAAAUAUAAUUAUUUGUAUAAUUGAUC
RNAcentral lists this long non-coding RNA (7334 nucleotides) under Cinara cedri. Lineage: Eukaryota; Metazoa; Arthropoda; Insecta; Hemiptera; Aphididae. The record is from RNAcentral.